UACGUAGGGGGCAAGCGUUGUCCGGAAUCAUUGGGCGUAAAGAGCGUGUAGGCGGCCCGAUAAGUCCGCUGUGAAAGUCCAGGGCUCAACCCUGGGAUGCCGGUGGAUACUGUCGGGCUCGAGUCCGGUAGGGGAGUGGGGAAUUCCUGGUGUAGCGGUGAAAUGCGCAGAUAUCAGGAGGAACACCGGUGGCGAAGGCGCCACUCUGGGCCGGUACUGACGCUGAGGAGCGAAAGCGUGGGUAGCAAACAGG
RNAcentral lists this ribosomal RNA (253 nucleotides) under uncultured bacterium. Its description in RNAcentral is "partial 16S ribosomal RNA". It matches the Rfam family "Bacterial small subunit ribosomal RNA", at positions 524 to 776 of the family's 1533-position model. The record is from RNAcentral.